This 144-nucleotide microRNA precursor is filed under the name Gossypium arboreum. RNAcentral describes it as "MIR7502 microRNA precursor family". It matches the Rfam family "MIR7502 microRNA precursor family". Lineage: Eukaryota; Viridiplantae; Streptophyta; Magnoliopsida; Malvales; Malvaceae. The record is from Rfam by way of RNAcentral.
UGUUAAAAAAUUAUCUAAUUGUAUUGUUAAAAACUUACGUAGUUGAUAGAAUAAUCAGAUAGUGAUACAUGUUAUGCCACAUGUACGUCAUGCUGACGUAUAUGGAUCAAUUUUUAAUAAUAAAAAUAGAGAAAAUUUUUAACA